GACAGCUUGGCUGAGCGGUUAAGGCGAUAGACUCCAAAUCUAUUGGGGUAACCCGCGUGAGUUCAAAGCUGUCG
Transfer RNA from Phytophthora infestans T30-4, 74 nucleotides. It matches the Rfam family "tRNA". From Rfam's summary of the family: Transfer RNA (tRNA) molecules are approximately 80 nucleotides in length. Their secondary structure includes four short double-helical elements and three loops (D, anti-codon, and T loops). The record is from Rfam. Lineage: Eukaryota; Oomycota; Peronosporomycetes; Peronosporales; Peronosporaceae.